Passer domesticus (house sparrow) is the source of this 452-nucleotide long non-coding RNA. RefSeq lists it as uncharacterized. Lineage: Eukaryota; Metazoa; Chordata; Aves; Passeriformes; Passeridae. The transcript has 5 exons. The record is from RefSeq and is a predicted model, not a curated record.
GGGCAUAGUGCUUCAGUGGAAGGUGGCAUUUCUUGAAGGAAGCUCUCCAUCUUCGGUGCCAGCCCCUGCUGCAGGAAGGAAGGCGAUGGCAGACACGGGCACAGGCACAGCAGACUGAGAUGCUGGGACAGUUCCUCCAUUAGCCUGGCACUCUGAAGUUGUGAUGCCCUCCGAGCAUUCGGCAGAUGUGUCUGCAGGGAUGACUUCACCAACUCCUACCUUGGAUACUGCACAAAAGCCUAGCUCCCAUCACAGGGGUCCUCCGACAGGAGAGACCAAAGACAUGGCAGGCAAGAAAUUCCAGGACCCAUUAGAAAUCAUGUGGCAAAUGCUGAAGGAAUGUCUGCAGAGGAGGCAAGAAAUGAAAGGAGAGCCUGUGCAGAAGGAAGCAUUUCGUGGAGGAAGCAGUGGUUCCGUGCCAGCCUCUGCUGCAGGAAGGGAGGCCAUGCCAG